AGUCAGCAGGUCUCUUCGUCCUCGCUGGCUUCUCGAACCAGCUGAAGAAAUUGGAGGGGCUAGAUGAGGAGACAUUGAUGCCUCAGAAGACACCACCACCAUCGACAUAUCCUUGUUACUUGAAGGUUUCUUUAGCACAAUAGUUGAAAUCACAAUCAUAAUUACAUAAUAUGUUUAAAUAAUUAUCCCAA
Molecule: non-coding RNA, 191 nt
Organism: Arachis ipaensis
Lineage: Eukaryota; Viridiplantae; Streptophyta; Magnoliopsida; Fabales; Fabaceae
Source: RefSeq, a predicted model, not a curated record